This 253-nucleotide ribosomal RNA is filed under the name uncultured bacterium. Its description in RNAcentral is "partial 16S ribosomal RNA". It matches the Rfam family "Bacterial small subunit ribosomal RNA", at positions 524 to 776 of the family's 1533-position model. The record is from RNAcentral.
UACGUAGGGGGCAAGCGUUGUCCGGAUUUAUUGGGCGUAAAGAGCUCGUAGGCGGUCUGUCGCGUCUGCUGUGAAAACUCGGGGCUUAACCCCGGGCCUGCAGUGGGUACGGGCAGACUAGAGUGCGGUAGGGGAGACUGGAAUUCCUGGUGUAGCGGUGAAAUGCGCAGAUAUCAGGAGGAACACCGGUGGCGAAGGCGGGUCUCUGGGCCGUAACUGACGCUGAGGAGCGAAAGCGUGGGGAGCGAACAGG